CUAACACAUGCAAGUCGAACGCAGUAGCAAUACUGAGUGGCAGACGGGUGAGUAACAUGUGGGAAUCUGCCUUGUGGUUCAGGACAACAUUGGGAAACCGAUGCUAAUACUGGAUAAGCCCUUACGGGGAAAGUUUUAAUGCCAUAAGAUGAGCCCGCAUUUGAUUAGUUAGUUGGUGAGGUAAUGGCUCACCAAGACAAUGAUCAAUAGCUGAUCUGAGAGGAUGAUCAGCCACACUGGGACUGAGACACGGCCCAGACUCCUACGGGAGGCAGCAGUGGGGAAUCUUGCACAAUGGAGGAAACUCUGACCCAGCGACGCCGCGUGCGGGAUGAAGGCCUUCGGGUUGUAAACCGCUUUCAGUAGGGAAGAAGCGAAAGUGACGGUACCUACAGAAGAAGCACCGGCUAACUAUGUGCCAGCAGCCGCGGUAAUACAUAGGGUGCAAGCGUUGUCCGGAAUUAUUGGGCGUAAAGAGCUCGUAGGUGGUUUGAUACGUCGGGUGUGAAAUUCAGGGGCUCAACCCCUGACCUGCAUUCGAUACAGUCAAGCUAGAGUUUGGUAGGGGAGACUGGAAUUCCUGGUGUAGCGGUGGAAUGCGCAGAUAUCAGGAGGAACACCGAUGGCGAAGGCAGGUCUCUGGGCCAAUACUGACACUGAGGAGCGAAAGCGUGGGGAGCGAACAGGAUUAGAUACCCUGGUAGUCCACGCCGUAAACGGUGGGCGCUAGUUGUGCGAACCUUCCACGGUUUGUGCGACGCAGCUAACGCAUUAAGCGCCCCGCCUGGGGAGUACGAUCGCAAGAUUAAAACUCAAAGGAAUUGACGG
This 828-nucleotide ribosomal RNA is filed under the name uncultured bacterium. RNAcentral describes it as "bacterial SSU rRNA". It matches the Rfam family "Bacterial small subunit ribosomal RNA", at positions 48 to 916 of the family's 1533-position model. The record is from RNAcentral.